UGUGGAGAUGAAGAAUUGUGUGCUAUUUUGUGCCCUGUCGUGAUUGCCAUCCACAGUUGAAGAUCGUUCCCAAGCAGGCUGGUUUGCUGGUCUCCUUUGACUUUGUUUCAAGGACGGUGAUUUGCAAAAGGCUUCAGAAAGGCAAACCCCUGAGGAAAAAUUUCAUGGAAUCUUGUGUACGGGAAGUUCCUCUGGGAUUUUGCCUGUUCUCUGAUCGCAACCAAAAUUACUGAUGACCCCCGGGAACGAAAACACAGCCUGCUCAGACUGGCAGGGAGAAGAUGUAAGGUCUUCAUCUGGUGGACAGUGUGAUUGUGAUCAAGAACCACAGGAGAAGUACAGGUGCCGGCUGUAGCCUCCAUCCCGAUCAGCAGAAGGCAGGGGACCUCCCAGCUGAGUUGACAGCCAAGACGCUGACCUGGGCUUUCGGUAGACAGUUUGUCUCCUCUGCCUCCAAAGUACCAUUUCUCCGACAACAAUCGACCGAGUCGCUCCUGGAAGUAACCCCAAGAGUGAAGGCCCUAGCAGCCAUCAGCACCUCGAAGACACUAUCUUGCAGUAUUUUGGUGUCUGUUAUUGUUCAUGAGAAAUCAAACAUUAAGCG
Long non-coding RNA from Zalophus californianus (California sea lion), 604 nucleotides. RefSeq lists it as uncharacterized. The record is from RefSeq and is a predicted model, not a curated record. NCBI's taxonomy places the organism in Eukaryota, Metazoa, Chordata, Mammalia, Carnivora, Otariidae. The transcript has 4 exons.